UUGAACGCUGGCGGCAGGCCUAACACAUGCAAGUCGAGCGGAUGAAGGGAGCUUGCUCCUGGAUUCAGCGGCGGACGGGUGAGUAAUGCCUAGGAAUCUGCCUGGUAGUGGGGGAUAACGUCCGGAAACGGGCGCUAAUACCGCAUACGUCCUGAGGGAGAAAGUGGGGGGUCUUCGGACCUCACGCUAUCAGAUGAGCCUAGGUCGGAUUAGCUAGUUGGUGGGGUAAAGGCCUACCAAGGCGACGAUCCGUAACUGGUCUGAGAGGAUGAUCAGUCACACUGGAACUGAGACACGGUCCAGACUCCUACGGGAGGCAGCAGUGGGGAAUAUUGGACAAUGGGCGAAAGCCUGAUCCAGCCAUGCCGCGUGUGUGAAGAAGGUCUUCGGAUUGUAAAGCACUUUAAGUUGGGAGGAAGGGCAGUAAGUUAAUACCUUGCUGUUUUGACGUUACCAACAGAAUAAGCACCGGCUAACUUCGUG
Molecule: ribosomal RNA, 483 nt
Filed under: uncultured bacterium
Lineage: Bacteria
Description: partial 16S ribosomal RNA
Rfam family: Bacterial small subunit ribosomal RNA
Source: RNAcentral